This 352-nucleotide ribosomal RNA is filed under the name Neobacillus drentensis. Its description in RNAcentral is "bacterial SSU rRNA". It matches the Rfam family "Bacterial small subunit ribosomal RNA", at positions 65 to 406 of the family's 1533-position model. Lineage: Bacteria; Bacillati; Bacillota; Bacilli; Caryophanales; Bacillaceae. The record is from RNAcentral.
AGCGGGACGGAUGGGAGCUUGCUCCCUGAAGUCAGCGGCGGACGGGUGAGUAACACGUGGGCAACCUGCCUGUAAGACUGGGAUAACUUCGGGAAACCGGAGCUAAUACCGGAUAAUGCAUAACCUCUCAUGAGGUUAUGCUGAAAGAUGGUUUCGGCUAUCACUUACAGAUGGGCCCGCGGCGCAUUAGCUAGUUGGUGAGGUAACGGCUCACCAAGGCAACGAUGCGUAACCGACCUGAGAGGGUGAUCGGCCACAAUGGGACUGAAACACGGCCCAUACUCCAACGGGAGGCAUGAAUAGGGAAUCUUCCGGAAUGGAAAAAAGUUUGACGGAUCACCGCCGCUUGAGA